RNAcentral lists this long non-coding RNA (6703 nucleotides) under Capsicum annuum. Its description in RNAcentral is "long non-coding RNA (CANN_LNC001605)". Lineage: Eukaryota; Viridiplantae; Streptophyta; Magnoliopsida; Solanales; Solanaceae. The record is from RNAcentral.
UGUUCUCUUUACUUUACUCUUUGCUUAAAUUUCCCUUUUUAUCCUUAAGUUCAACUACUCUGACAUUAGAACCCUAAUCUAUUACAAUCCCUCUUCUAUCAAAGCAACCUUGUCCUUAAGGUUGCAUCUGAGGCACAAACUAAGGGAAGCAAAUAUAGAUGGAACUCCAGUCCUCCCAAGUAGAUUCGUUCAUCCCAAGAUUCGCCUACUGGACCAACACCCAAAUUGAUGUUGUGUUGUUGACCUUCACUGUUCGCCAUCAUAAAAGGGCCAAUGAUUUCAUGAGUAUUUGUCCUUCACCAUUACAGCUAGGUGACUAUUGUUGGGAGCCUAUAUCUAGACCUAUGUUUCUUGAUCUAACAAAUAUGAAAUAUCAAGUGGAUCUGCGGCCUCAGUGAAAACUCCAAACUGUGAGCCACUACUCCAAUCUUUUCUAUUACUGUGUAGGAUCUAUAAUACUUUGCGUUUAGUUUUAGAUGUUAUCACACUUCUACUAAUGAUUUUUGAUAAGGUUGUAGUUUUAAGUAGACAUUAUCCCCCACUUGUAAUGACCUCUCCAAUCGGUGUUGGUCUGCGUAAAAUUUAUUCGAGCUUAAGCAACUUGUAAAUUAUCCUUGAGAUAUUGCAAGACUUUUUGUCUUUGGUCCACAUAAUCGAUCUCCUGCUUGAGUAUGUGUAGAGUGGGCCAAUGAACCCAUGGGAAUAUGUGGGGGCGAAUGCCCAUAUAAGGUCUCAAAUGGAGUAGUUUGUAGUUAAGUAUAGUUGGUAUUGUACCAAAAUUCAGUUAGAUGCAAUCACUUUGAAUACUAUUUAGGCUGACCAAAUACCAUAUCCCUUAGAUAUAUUUUCACACGUUUCUCGUGUCUCUCAUUCUGCUCAUCUGAUUAUAGAUGGUCGGCUGAAGUCAUAUUGAGCCUAAUUCUCAGCGACUUAAAUAUUUGGUUCCAGAAGAGGUUAGUAAAGUGGAGUUUCCAUUAGUGACAAUAGAUUGAGACAAUCCAUGUAGUCUAUAAUCUUUCUUAAGAACACAUCAUCCAUACAUUAUGCAGUGCAUAGAUAUUUCAGUGUGCUAAAAUGACCACUCUUGGUCAAUCUAUCCAUCACCACCAAAAUAGAGUCUUUAUGAUAUGAAUUGGGUACCUCUUCUAUAAUGUCCAUUCCAAUAUCCCUCCAAGGAGCUUAAGGAAUAGGCAAAGGCUGUAAGAAUUCUAGAUAGUAGACAUUUUCAUAUUUAACUCUCUGACAAAUGUCACACUCUCUCACCCCACUUGAAAAUAUCCUCCUUCAUAUUAGGCCAAUAAAAUAAUAUCUUAAUCCUUUUAUAAGUGGCAUGUUGGCCUAAUUGACCCCUAAAAAAUGAAAGAUGUAAGAUUUUCCAGAUUCUUAUCCUCAAGUCAGUUUCUUUUUCCACAAAGAGAUUUUUUAUGUAUCUGAUAAUAUUGUAAUACCUCGCAAAAUUCUCUCGUAGUCUGAUCCUUAGAGCGUGUUCAGUGAAGUGUUAAUCCAUCCCUAAAAGGUUGAGAAGUGUCUUUCCUAGUGAGAAGUAUUUUGAACUGUAUAGAAUUUUUCCAAUAUUGACUUUUUAUCAUAUAGAGAAUUAAAUAAGCUUUCCAUCGAUACUAAAUUCGCCUAAAUCUGACACUCGGGCGAAGAGUUAGAGCUAUUUUAGUGAGAUAGUGUGCCACCUGGCACUUUAGCGCGUCGCGAAGCCAGCCGAAAUGGCAAUCGUUAAAAUCCAGUGAGCCUCCGCGAUAAUGGCGCGUCGCGCCAAGGCUUAAUUUUAGAAUUGCCAAUUUACAGUGCACCAACGCGCUUUCACCGCGUUGCGGUGCCUUUCUAGUUCGCAACCAAGGUCGCAAUACGAUUUCCACCCCAUUGAGCUAUCAAGCAGUUUUAAGAUUGUCCAAUUUCCAGUGAGCUAGUGCGUCGCGCCAACAUGUAAAAUCGAGAUUUUUUAGUUUAAUUCCAAGGGUGAAAAGGGUCUUUUCCCAACCCCUGUAUAUACUCCUUAAUACGGAAUUUGGCCUAAUUUCACCCAAAAUAUCAUUAUUUUCUCUCAAAGUUGUUCAAGAACAAGAGCUAGGGUUUCUACAAAAUCAAAACCCUUCCUUCUUCUUCAAGAGAAAUCAAGAAUCUCUCCAAGAGCUUUCAAGAAAGAGUUUCUCCAAGGUAUGCAGAUGUUGAUUCUUGGGUCCCUUUCAUCCAAAAAGCUCAAGAACCCUUUUCUAAAUUUCAAAGCUUUUAUGUUUAUGAGUUUUCAUGAUUCAUGUGAGUUGAAAUUGAUGUUCAUGCUAUUAUUGAGUUGUGAUUCAUGUUUGCUUACAAGGUUUUCAAGCUUUGACCCUAGUAUGUAGUAUUCAUAUGAUGUUCAUGAUAAACCCUCUUUAAGUUGCUUGUUAAGUGGUGUGUUCAUGUCAAUUAAGUAUAAAAAUUGUUGAAUAAGCAAAGCAUGCUCCCCAUAUGCUUGAUAAAAUGCUUAUGUGAAUGAAUUAGAGCCAUUAUAGCAUAUUGACUAGAAAUCCCCAAUUAUGUGUAAGCCCAUGCAUGCCAAGUGUUUGUUGAAAAGCCUUAGUGAAUGAAUUGUGGCAUGAUAGCAUGAAAUUCUCUAAUUAUGUGCUCUUUGAUACAUGCUAAGACUUUAAUACAUACUAAGUGUUUGAUGAAUGAAUUGUAACAUGAUAGCAUGAAGUUCCCCAAUUAUGUGUUCUCCGGUACAUGCCAAGACUUAUAUAUGUGCGAAGUGCUUGAUGCAAGGCCUUGUUGAAUGGAGUAUGAUCCAAUAGCAUGUCCCCCUAUGUUAUUACAUGUUUAGGAUUCCUAAAUGCUUGAAGUGAUGCCUUAGUGAUUGUGAUGUUGAAUGAUUAUCCAUGGUUUUAAUUAUUCAAGAAUGGUUAUGUUUUACUUUUAUGUUAUCGAGUCUUGGGGGUAUUUAUACCCGACAAUUUAGCUGUUGUCUAGAGCCUGUGUCAGUUUUCAUGAUAAUUCCAGUUGAUCCAUGAUUCUCAGAACUCAGUGAUCUAUAUAGAACUCUGUAUUCUCAGACUGAUACAGAACUUAAGAAAUCUUAGUAAUAUCUGUAAUCGACGUAAUCUCAGUAUGGCUAGUAAUCUAGCCUCAGUUCUGUACUCAACUCAGAUCUAGUAGUAUUCAAGUGUUCAGUUCAGUCCUCAGUAGUAUUUGAGUAAUCUAUCUUGAGCUCAGUGUCAUCCAGUCAGAUAACGAGAUUCAGUAGUAUUCCGUCAGAUACGGAACCAAGUGAGUUUAUCUUAACUCAGUCAGAUCAUUUGAGAAACAUGAUCAGUAUCAGAUUCAGCUUAGUUUGUAUUCAGUUAAAAAUCAGUUCAGAGUCUUUCAGUUGGGAGUAGGAGAUAGCACCGAGCGAGGGCAGGGAUGACGGCUCUUCGUCAGAGAGUCAGAGUCGUUAGGAGCAAUCCCUGAAUUCUAGAACUGCGUAGCCAGCGCAGGAUGCAGGAGUCACCCGUCAGGAAAGGCUAGUCACCCGUCAGAUAAACUUGACCAUUAUAUUGCCUUAGGCUUGACUUCCUGCAAGGGUCACCCGUCAGAUUGGCUUGACCAGAGAGGGCGUUCACCAUGGAACGGUAUUGACACCCUUCCAGCUGGGGUUACAGGUUGGACCCCACCAGUUGAGAUUCGGGGCAUGUCAGUUAAGUGACUACUUCCCACAGUGUAAUUUUAGUAUCAUUCUUCAGAAAUCAGGACUGUCAGAUACAGUCAUCUAUCUCAGUAAGGAACUCAGAUAGUUUCAUUAAUUCAUGGACCACCCGUCAGAUAGGCUUGGUCCCAUAUAAAGUUAUUCAGUAUCAAAUCUAGAGAUCAUCCGUCAAAUAGGCUUGAUCUCAGUCUCAUAUUCAGUUGAGUAAUCUCAUUAUCAGAUCUAGAUAUCACUCGUCAGAUAGGCUUGAUCUCAGUCUCAAAUUAUCAGAUCUAGAGAUCACCCAUCAGAUAAGCUUGAUCUCAGUCUCAUAUUAAGUUGAGUAAUCUCAUUAUCAGAUCUAGAGAUCACCCGUCAGAUAGGCUUGAUCUCAGUCUCAGAUUCAGUUGAGUAUUCUUGUUGUCAGAUUCAGAAACGAUCAUUUCUUAUCAUUGAUAGUAAACUCCGAAAUCAUCCAUUAGAGAGGUUUGCUCUCUGAUGCAAUCAGUUAAGAGUAGAAAGCUUUGAAAUCAGUCAUUGAUAUGGGUAUAUUCAGUUAAUCAUCUUCAAUAUCCUCAGAUUCUGAGAUCACUCGCUAGAUAAGACUGAUCUCACCUCAGUACUCAUUUAUCAGUAUCAGAUGAUUUAGUUGUUUAGUAUCUCAGUAUUAGUAGUGAGUUCAGAUGUUAGUAAUGUAGUACUCGAGUUUCAAUACUCAGAGUCGUGAUGAUUGUGAUUAUGGUUUGUGCAUUCAUUCAUGUGUUCUCAUUCAGUACUCUCAUGAUUAUUCAGUGAAGUAAUUGUUCAUGCAUAAGCCAUUGCAUUUAGCCUUACCUCGUCUGCAUACUCGGUACAUUUCCGUACUUAAGCAUUUGUGCUAUGGUGUUUUAUUUGACACCAUAGGUUCAGAGGUACGAGAUCCAGAGUACCCUUAGCAGUUCAGUCUCAGUCAGCAGCAGUAGAUAUAGCAGUGAGUUCUCUUCAUUCGAGGAUGAUCCUUUUAUUAUUUUUGUAUCAAAUUUUAUUUAUUUUCAGUAGACGAAGUUAAUUGGGGACAUGUCCCAUCAACUCCACAGUUCAGACAGUUUAGAGGCUUUUCAGACAGAUGUAUCAAUAUUCAGUUUUCAAUUUUGAGUAUUUUUAGAUGUUUUGAACCUUAUGGCCAGUUUCUGCAUUUAUUAUAUAUAUUAUGCAGUGUUCAGGUACAGAUAUCAGUAGAGGAUUGGCUUAUGGUCCUCUGGGAUCAUGAGCACCAUGUGACGUUCUGGUUCCAAAAAAUCGAGUCGUUAUAGAUACUCUAGUACAAUGUGUAACUAUCCAUGUUGGUUGGUAUAGUGAUUAGUUUUAUGAUCACUAAGUAGGUUCCAAAGUAGUCAUAGUAGAUAGGUAUACUUUUUGUUCCUUCCUUCUAGAUAAAGCAUCAACAACCUUCUUUUCAGUUUCUUUUUUUUAUAUUGCACUUCAUAAUCCAACUCAGUAGCUUAGUGAGCCUUUUCUGUUAUAGUGCAGUAGUGACCCUUUUUUCUAGUAAAAACUUUAGACUAUAAUAGUCAAUCCUGAUAAUAAAAUAUCUCACUAUAAGGUAAUGUCUCCACCUAUCCACUGUAGAUAGAACUUUUAGGUACUCAUUUUCAUGUGUUGAUAACCCUCAGUUUCUAGGACUCAAUACCUUGCUAAAAUAGGCUAGGAGUCUACAGUCCUACAUCAAUACUGCUUCAAUCCCUUUAUCACAAGCAUUAGUCUCUGCUAUAAAAGGCUUAGAAAAGUCAGUCAAGGAGAAGACAGGUAUAAUAGUCAUGGCCUCUAUCAACUCUUGAAAAGCACUAUCAGCCUCUAUACUCCAGUUAAAUAAAUUCUUCUUCAAUAAGGUAGUGAGAAAUUUGCCAAUCCACUCAUAAUUUUGAACAAACCUCAUGUAAUAGCCAGUAAGUCUCAAGAAAUUGGAGUUUUGGGUACAUUCCAAAUUACCAUAGCCUCGAUCUUAGCAAAGUUUGUUUUCACUUCUUAACCGGUAAUGAUGUUUCCUGAAUACUCCACCCUAUCUUGUCUAGUUGCACACUUGAAAUUUUUAGCAUACAAUUAUUAUUUUCUAAGAACCUGCAGUACCUUUCUCAGAUGUUCACAUGUUUUUUAAUAUUAGUGCUACGUACAAGAGUAUCAUAAAAAAACUAGAACAAACUACCUCAAAUAGUUUUGAACACAUCCUUCAUUAGAUAUUAAAAUGCGGUAGAAGCAUUGGUCAGGCAAAAAGCAUCACCUUAAACUUAGAAUUCCCCAUAUGUGUCCUGAAGGCAGCUUUAUGAAUGUUUGGUUCAUUCAUCUUUAUUUAAUGGUAGUCAACCCUUAGGUUAAUAUUAGAAAACACCACAGCUCCCUGGAGUACAUCUAAUAGAUCAUCCAUAAGAGAAAUUGAGAAUUUUUCCUUCACAAUCAUGUUGUUUAAUUCUUUAUAGUCCACACAAAACCUUCAAGUACUAUCUUUCUUCUUGACCGACAACGCAAGAGAUGAUAAAAGCAAAUGGUCGAAUUAAAUAAUUUCAUUGUCUAACAUUUUCUUUACUUGAUUUUUUAUUUUAUUUUUCUAGCAAAAGUUAUAUCUAUAGGGCCUAAUACUCAUAAAAAUUGUUUCAGAUUUCAAGAAAAUAAAAUGGCCGUGUUGUCUCUUAGGAGGCAAGGUGGUAGGCUCCUAAAAACAUCUACAAAUUCUUCCAAGAUUGUGUUUAUUACCAAAGACAAAUUUUGUUGCUCUUUUUUUGUAAGGCUAUUAUAGUAAACAAAUGUCCCCAUAUAAACUUGCCCGUCCUCGAUAGUUGUUUCACAUUAUUAGUUGUCAUGCUCUAAGAUUAAUUUACACUUUAAUUUCUUUCUAUUUUAAUUUCUUAAAUUCUCCCAACAAAUUCAGCACACUAUUGGUGAAAUUUAUAAGUCUCGUACAAAUUUUUUCAAUGAAUUUUGUCCAACUAAUGGUUCUCUUACUUAGAUGGUAGAAAAAAAUACCAUGACUCUACUCUUCCAUUAAGACGGAGAACAAUAAUUUCUAGCUUCUCUUCA